GAAAGUAAUGAAGGGCGUACGGUGGAUGCCUAGGCUCUUACAGGCGAUGAAGGACGUGAUAAGCUGCGAAAAGCCGCGGUGAGGCGCAAAUGGCCCUUGACCCGCGGAUCUCCGAAUGGGACAACCCAAUAUCUUGAAGAGAUAUUAUCCCGCCGGUGCGGGAGGCGAACGCGGGGAACUGAAACAUCUUAGUACCCGCAGGAAAAGAAAAUAAAGAAUGAUUCCCCCAGUAGUGGCGAGCGACCGGGGAAGAGCCCAAACCGACGUUGUCUCGGCAUCGUCGGGGUUGUAGGACCGCGCCAUCGCAAGAAAGGCCGUGAGUGGAAGCGACUGGAAAGCCGCGCCAUAGAGGGUGACAGCCCCUUACACGAAGCAGCCUGAAGCGUAGCGGACUCCUGAGUAGCGCGGGACACGAGUAAUCCUGUGUGAAUCCGCCGGGCCCAUCCGGCAAGGCUAAAUACUCGUAAGAGACCGAUAGUGAACCAGUACCGUGAGGGAAAGGUGAAAAGGACCCCUUGCAGGGGAGUGAAAGAGUUCCUGAAACCGUACGCCUACAAGCGGUCGGAGCAUCUUGAAUGAUGUGACGGCGUGCCUUUUGCAUAAUGAACCUACGAGUUGCCGUCACCAGCGAGGUUAAGUGCGACGACGCACCGAGCCGCAGCGGAAGCGAGUCUUAAAAGGGCGCGAUAGUUGGUGGAGGCAGACGCGAAACCGAGUGAUCUACACUUGUCCAGGAUGAAGUCCCGGUAACACGGGAUGGAGGUCCGCACCAAUAAGCGUUGAAAAGCUUCUGGAUGAGGUGAGUGUAGGAGUGAAAGGCCAAUCAAACUCGGAGAUAGCUCGUACUCCCCGAAAGGCAUUUAGGUGCCGCCUGUGGCGUUCCCGACGUGAGGUAGAGCGACUGAUAGGAUGCGAGGGCUUCACCGCCUAUCAAGUCCUGACAAACUCCGAAUGCACGUCGGCCAAGCCAUGGAGUAAGGGCAUGGGUGCUAAGGUCCGUGCCCGAGAGGAGAAGAAUCCAGACCACCGGCUAAGGUCCCGAAAUACUGGUUAAGUUAGACUAACGCAGUCCGGCCCCCAAGACAGCUAGGAUGUUGGCUUGGAAGCAGCCAUUCAUUCAAAGAGUGCGUAACAGCUCACUAGUCGAGGAGCUGGGCGUGGAUAAUAAUCGGGUAUAAAACCAGUUACCGAAGCCGUGGGAUGCUCAAGCAUCGGUAGGGGAGCAUUGCAUGCGGCUUGGAAGGCGGGGCGCGAGCCCCUCUGGAGCGCAUGGAAACGCAAAUGUAGGUAUAAGUAACGACAAGGGGGGUGGGAUGCCCCCCCGCCGAAAGACCAAGGUUUCCUGAACAACGCUAAUCGGUUCAGGGUCAGUCGGGUCCUAAGCAUAAGCCGUAUGGCGAGGGCGAUGGAUGAAACGGUUAAUAUUCCGUUACUGUCUUGGUGUGUGACGCGGCGACGGAGUAGUGACACGGCCGCCUCCUGACGGAAAAGGGGGUUGAAGCGCAAAGGUGUCGAGGAAGGCAGGCAAAUCCACCUUCCGAGCCGAAGCGCGAUAGUACGCUGCGCCCUUUGGGGCAAGGCGAUAGUGCCGGUAAUCAGACUUCCAAGAAAACCCGCUAAACUUCAGCACCAAGUCACCCGUACUCCAAACGGACACACGUGGUCGGGUAGAAUAUACUAAGGCGCUUGGGAGAUUCACGGUUAAGGAACUAGGCAAAUUGACCCCGUACCUUCGGAAUAAGGGGUCCUCGCUUUUGCGAGGCGCAGAGAAUAGGUCCAGGCAACUGUUUAACAAAAACACAGGGCUGUGCCAAUUUGAAAGAAGAAGUAUACAGCCUGACACCUGCCCGGUGCCGGAAGGUUAAGAGGAGAGCUCAUCAGCGAUGAGAAGGCUUGAAUUGAAGCCCCGGUAAACGGCGGCCGUAACUAUAACGGUCCUAAGGUAGCGAAAUUCCUUGUCGGGUAAGUUC
RNAcentral lists this ribosomal RNA (1970 nucleotides) under human gut metagenome. RNAcentral describes it as "bacterial LSU rRNA". It matches the Rfam family "Bacterial large subunit ribosomal RNA", at positions 1 to 1983 of the family's 2925-position model. The record is from RNAcentral.